CCAGACGGUUGGAUGACCGCUCGUAGCUGUCCGAAAGGUGCUGCGGGAGGAAAGUCCGGGCUCCACGGGGAUACGGUGCCGGGUAACGCCCGGCGAGGGCAACCUUAGGGAAAGUGCCACAGAGAGCAGACCACCCGCAUUUAUGCGGGUAAGGGUGAAAGGGUGCGGUAAGAGCGCACCGCUCCCGGGGCAACUCGGGAGGCAUGGUAAACCCCACCGGGAGCAAAACCGAAUAGGGACGAUGGCGCUUCGGCGCAGGCGCAUCCCCGCGCUGUCGUCCGGGUAGGUUGCACGAGGCGUCCGGCAACGGGCGUCCCAGAUGAAUGGUCAUCCAGCACCUUCGGGUGUGGACAGAACCCGGCUUACAGACCGUCUGGCUUU
RNAcentral lists this RNase P RNA (381 nucleotides) under Rhodospirillales bacterium. Its description in RNAcentral is "RNase P RNA component class A". It matches the Rfam family "Bacterial RNase P class A". From Rfam's summary of the family: Ribonuclease P (RNase P) is a ubiquitous endoribonuclease, found in archaea, bacteria and eukarya as well as chloroplasts and mitochondria. Its best characterised activity is the generation of mature 5'-ends of tRNAs by cleaving the 5'-leader elements of precursor-tRNAs. Lineage: Bacteria; Pseudomonadati; Pseudomonadota; Alphaproteobacteria; Rhodospirillales. The record is from RNAcentral.